This 493-nucleotide ribosomal RNA is filed under the name uncultured bacterium. Its description in RNAcentral is "bacterial SSU rRNA". It matches the Rfam family "Bacterial small subunit ribosomal RNA", at positions 903 to 1397 of the family's 1533-position model. The record is from RNAcentral.
AAAGGAAUUGACGGGAACUCGCACAAGCGGUGGAGCAUGCGGUUUAAUUCGAUGCAACGCGAAGAACCUUACCAGGUCUUGACAUCCCACUGACAGGCCUAGAAAUAGGUCCUUCCUUCGGGACGGUGGAGACAGGUGGUGCAUGGUUGUCGUCAGCUCGUGUCGUGAGAUGUUGGGUUAAGUCCCGCAACGAGCGCAACCCCUGUCACUAGUUGCUAACAUUAAGUUGAGGACUCUAGUGAGACUGCCGAUGACAAAUCGGAUGAAGGUGGGGACGACGUCAAAUCAUCAUGCCCCUUAUGACCUGGGCUACACGCGUGCUACAAUGGCCAGUACAAUGAGUUGCAAAGCCGUGAGGUGGAGCUAAUCUCAAAAAGCUGGUCUCAGUUCGGAUUGUAGUCUGCAACUCGACUACAUGAAGCAGGAAUCGCUAGUAAUCGUGAAUCAGAAUGUCACGGUGAAUACGUUCUCGAGUUUUGUACACACCGCCCGU